Molecule: ribosomal RNA, 429 nt
Filed under: uncultured Methanomicrobiales archaeon
Lineage: Archaea; Methanobacteriati; Methanobacteriota; Methanomicrobia; Methanomicrobiales
Description: bacterial SSU rRNA
Rfam family: Archaeal small subunit ribosomal RNA
Source: RNAcentral
UACAACGCCGGGAAACUCACCAGAUAAGACAGCUGAAUGAUAGUCGGGCUGAAGACUCUACUUGACUAGCUGAGAGGAGGUGCAUGGCCGUCGUCAGUUCGUACUGUGAAGCAUCCUGUUAAGUCAGGCAACGAGCGAGACCCACGCCCAACAGUUGCCAGCUCGUCCUCCGGGAUGGUGGGGACACUGUUGGGACCGCCUCUGCUAAAGAGGAGGAAGGAAUGGGCAACGGUAGGUCAGCAUGCCCCGAAUUAUCUGGGCUACACGCGGGCUACAAUGGGUGGGACAAUGGGUAUCGACACCGAAAGGUGAAGGCAAUCUCCUAAACCCAUCCGUAGUUCGGAUUGUGGGCUGCAACUCGCCCACAUGAAGCUGGAAUCUGUAGUAAUCGUGUCUCAAAAUGGCACGGUGAAUAUGUCCCUGCUCCUU